Long non-coding RNA from Falco peregrinus (peregrine falcon), 3548 nucleotides. RefSeq lists it as uncharacterized. NCBI's taxonomy places the organism in Eukaryota, Metazoa, Chordata, Aves, Falconiformes, Falconidae. The record is from RefSeq and is a predicted model, not a curated record. The transcript has 3 exons.
UGGAAAGCCUUACGAAGCCCUGUGCUUCAGUUCCAUUUAUUCUAAUUAUGCCAAGAUUUGCCUCUAAUAUGUUUGCAAAACUCUUUGCUUCCAAAUGAUAUCAAAACCACUUGGAAGAUGAGAAUUAUUUUCUCAAGUAUUAAUGGUUGUUUUUUUUUAAAAAAAAGCUUCAUUUUAAAACUCACCAAUGCAAACAGUACUCAGAAACACUUCUAGGAUCUUCAUACAGAUGCUUAGACUCUUUGGUGAAAUGCAUAUAUGUAGGCUUAAAUUUUUAUUUCUUUUUUUUGUAAAUAAUAUAAAGCUUAUAGCUAAUGACAGUCAGACUCAGGGGCUGUGAGUGGCCAGUGUUACACAAACCCAGGGCAGCAAAAAGGAGGAGUUAGGAUCUGAGAGCUGGAGAUGCUGGCAGCAGCCGGGUGCACGCUCAGCACUGGACAUGGGUGCACCCUAAGCACCUGCAGGAUCCAAGCCUCCUCAAAGCAGACCUCAAAAAUUCAGUGUAUUACAGGUGUUAUGCAAGGUUGUAUAUAGCAGCAGAGGGAACGUGCAAAGGAUACCAAGGCUAAGAGCACAGAAAUGCUCUGGUGGGUGUGUGUGCACCUCAACAUCAGUUUCUCUUGACGAGCAGCUGGCCAGCCCAGUGCUUCAUCCCGGAGUGGUAGGGAUGCCUCACUGCCCCCCGUGCCACAGUUGCCUGCCACCCAUACAAUAUCAUGCUGCAAGACCUUCUACAUGGGGGCUGAGUUUUGCUGUUGCUCCUCAUGCCUUUUGUUGAGGUGGGAAUGAAAAGGAUGGAAAGCUGGUAAUUUUGGUGAUAACACAGCUGGGAGGGGGGAGAGAGACUAUGAGCCCCCUGCCUGCGUGAGGAAUUAAAGCAGCUGGAGAUGCGGUGAGUAAAGGAACCUCGUGCUCUCCAUUAGGAGGCCAACUUUUCAAAGUCCUCAGAAGCUAAAAUUGGGCAGCAGGAAAAAAAACACCUUUUCUUAUCAUUUUGCUGGUGACACAGGAUGAAAUGACCCAUUUUCUCACUGAGGCAGGGAGCAGGAAGAAGGGGGAGAAGUGGAAGAGGGUUUCCCCCUCCCCGUGCAUCACUGAGAUCCCUUUAUUGCUGAAAAACUGAAACCCAGAGAUGCCAUUGCUCAGCGAAUUACUUAUUUCAGCUCUUUCUUUGGAAAGAUCUCACAGGUGCACAUCAUUCGCAGGGCACCAAAGGUCUAUUUUUACCAUCUCUGGGCUAUCAGGAUCCAUAAGAAAGGGACAAGCAGGAUUCCCACUGCUGGGAGCCAGCACCAUCCCACCCCGCCAUCGUUUUGGAGCUGUUUCUGCCUGUGUGUGCAAGCCAGUGGCACCGUUCUCCACUAAUGAGCAAUUCCUCAGGAAGGUUAAAGAAAAGUCAAGGUUUUCUUUAAGGGGUUGGGCCACUUAAUUGGUCUAUUCUGACAAAUGCAAUAAUAUUUGCGGAAAGGCUGGGCAGAUAAAGAAAAAAGUAAACAAGGUCAGCGGUGUCUGUGUGAAACAAACCCGUGAAGAUGUGGCUGGAGAAGGGCUGCUGCCACCAGAAAGGGGAGGUUUCACCUCAUCCCACCUCGCUGGAGUCUGCAUCGCUGCCUUAGGGAUGAGCAGACUCGUGUUGAAUUAACGCAAAAUCUCCGGACACUCGGGGGCACAGCCUGGAUGGGUACUACUUGACCAGCACCGCCAACAAUGCCCCAGCACGCCUAGGCUGGGAAAGAUGAGGCCAGUCUGCGCAACUCCAUUUGGAUGGGCAGGAGUGGAAAUGAGCUAAGAGAAUAUGUGUUUCCUCUAAACUUAGAUUUGAUAACAUAAACCCAUAAAAAGCACUGAAAGUAUGUCCAGGAAAAGGAAGAAAGCAAAGCCGCCCCCCCCCCCCCCGCCCAAGUUUUUUGUUUUAUUUUUUUCAGUUUUGUGCACUCCACCCUGUUUCAUUUAUUUCCUACUUCACCUUCUUUAAGAAUGGAAAUUUCCCACCAAAAGGUGUAGAACACUCCAGCUAUUAUUAGACAUUUUCAGUAAAAUAUAAGGAAGUACAAAACCCAACAACAGACCAGAGGGCACCAUCCCGUCUCCAUCUUCAGCAGUUUUUGCCCUGUUGUCAUCAGCAUUUCAGAGCCACCUCAGCUCUUGCUGGGAGGCUCCUCCCUGGUAACACCCUGAGUGCCCGGCAGUCCGCAGGAUGCUCCUCUGACACCAGGCACCCGGGCAGAUGAAACGUGAAACAUUCGAAACAGACCAAAGGAAGCAUUUCUAAUGUGAGUAAUUAUCCUGUGGCGCUUCCUGCCAUGCGAUACAAGAGAAGCAAAUAAUGCAGGAUAAUUCCUCAAAGACUCAGUUACUGAGUUGAAUAACAGCAUCAGCUGCAGUUGUGCUGCCUAGGUCUGGUAUUAUGAAGGCUCCUGGUCCUUGUGCUUCAAACUAAUCCCCUGCUGGGAUUAGAAAAGCAAACAAUAUCUCAGUAUCCGUGACACUCACAACUUCAGGUAAUAAGGAAGGCUCAGCCGUUGCUUCUGGAGGCUGGCUUGUGAAGGAGAUAAAGCAUUAGUUUUACUUGCAUCUUUUCCCAUGGACCGGUUUGGUUCACCCAUACUGUUUUCCCUACAGUGUAGAGGAAGCCUUGAAGCUUUUCUCUAGUGGGGAUGCCUCUCUUUUGCUUAAAGCCGACUGCUUUAAAAAUACAAAACACCUUAAAAGUGUAAGGAGCUUGCAUUUUUCCGAACAAGCCAACACCUCCGGCUGCAGGGAGAGUCCAAUUCACACUUGUCAUCUGCCAGCACCUCCCAGGCACAUUCAGGUGGCUUCACAUCACGGCUUUCUGGGUGUGGAACUCCCCUGUCCCAGCCCACAGCACGGAGCACAUUUUCCCAGAGCCAGCCCUCCCCGCUGGCCGGUGUGAUGCGCAGUGAUGCCGAGCUUGGAGGAGCCGCAGGUGUCACGCUCAGGUGGGCACAUACGCUCCUCCCCGGAACAGGUGCCGGGGCCACUGCUUUGCAGUGUCAUUAAGAAGCAGCUAUUUCAUGUCCUUACACAGGAACGCCGAUGCUGCUACAUGAGUAAACUAUGAAGUUACACAUUAGGUCGUAACUUUUCAGGACUUAUUAGGAACAAAAGUGCCUUUGUGAACAUGCGGGUUACUGAAUAACCCCCUCCGUCCCCAUAAAAAGCAGCAGCCGGGAUCAAGCUUUUUUUCUUUUUAAACAAGAUCUGGUUUAUAUGCAAGUCAGGAUCUUGAGGCUCCUUUUUGUGUCUCCACAGCUUGCUUGCCUUGCUCUCAGCCAUCCUCAGAGCGGAGUUCCACCACCGAGUACAUCACUGUUUGGGGACUUGAUGUGACGAUUUAUCACAGUAACAUUUCUCAAUCACCUGCGAACCCACUGGAGAGGAGCCAGAACUGCUGCACCGACAUGAUUAAGGACAGAAGUGAAGUUCUGUACAAGGGAGGAAGGUUUCUUAGUGGGGCAAACAGCUGGAAGGAAACAGGAAGGUUCUCACAGACACAGCCUAGCAAAGACUUGUGCACUGGAGAGAUC